RNAcentral lists this unclassified non-coding RNA (126 nucleotides) under uncultured fungus. Its description in RNAcentral is "sequence contains ITS1". Lineage: Eukaryota; Fungi. The record is from RNAcentral.
AUUCGUAUUAUCAAUGUUCAGACAAUGCCGUGUUCCAUACGUGUUCAGUUAACCACUUGCGAGUCUUUGACUCGAAGCUUGUUUGAAAAACCAAAAAUGAUCCUUCCGCAGGUUCACCUACGGAAA